Molecule: ribosomal RNA, 576 nt
Filed under: Streptomyces sp. 7CM9
Lineage: Bacteria; Bacillati; Actinomycetota; Actinomycetes; Kitasatosporales; Streptomycetaceae
Description: bacterial SSU rRNA
Rfam family: Bacterial small subunit ribosomal RNA
Source: RNAcentral
CCUGCACUCUGGGACAAGCCCUGGAAACGGGGUCUAAUACCGGAUACUGACCCGCUUGGGCAUCCAAGCGGUUCGAAAGCUCCGGCGGUGCAGGAUGAGCCCGCGGCCUAUCAGCUUGUUGGUGAGGUAAUGGCUCACCAAGGCGACGACGGGUAGCCGGCCUGAGAGGGCGACCGGCCACACUGGGACUGAGACACGGCCCAGACUCCUACGGGAGGCAGCAGUGGGGAAUAUUGCACAAUGGGCGAAAGCCUGAUGCAGCGACGCCGCGUGAGGGAUGACGGCCUUCGGGUUGUAAACCUCUUUCAGCAGGGAAGAAGCGAAAGUGACGGUACCUGCAGAAGAAGCGCCGGCUAACUACGUGCCAGCAGCCGCGGUAAUACGUAGGGCGCGAGCGUUGUCCGGAAUUAUUGGGCGUAAAGAGCUCGUAGGCGGCUUGUCACGUCGGUUGUGAAAGCCCGGGGCUUAACCCCGGGUCUGCAGUCGAUACGGGCAGGCUAGAGUUCGGUAGGGGAGAUCGGAAUUCCUGGUGUAGCGGUGAAAUGCGCAGAUAUCAGGAGGAACACCGGUGGCGAA